Long non-coding RNA from Homo sapiens (human), 8497 nucleotides. RefSeq lists it as uncharacterized. The transcript is spliced from 3 exons. Lineage: Eukaryota; Metazoa; Chordata; Mammalia; Primates; Hominidae. The record is from RefSeq and is a predicted model, not a curated record.
CCCCCUGACCCACCAUGAGCCGCCUAGCUCCCUGUCGAGAUUGCCGCCGUCGCGGCUGCUGUCACCGAGGCCGGGUCAUCGGGCCGCGGGGACCUCAAAGCCGAGUGGACGGGAGCCCCAAGUCAUUGCCUAUCCUUCGCCUCCCCAGAGCUGCUGCAACUGUCAGUCACCCACCCGGAACCCCGAGGGGCAACUACCAAGUAGGCCUCGGGGCCCGGAACAAGGGUCCCGGGGCUCAGGAUCUCGGCCGCUGCGCCUCACUCCUGCCCCAGCCCCGCGCACGGAACUCGUUUCCUUCCCACCCAGUUCGGGACACUCCUCUCUGACUUCCCCAGUAGGAUCUCACUUGCAGCGCUACAGCCAGUCCCUCUUCUGGUUCUCACGCACCCACUUAAGGCGGAGUGACUGGCCUAAAAGUCCAAGCUGAUCGUGUGGCUUCCGUUCGUAAAUAUCUCCCCUGGAUCUCCCUCCCUGGAGCCAGACAAGACUCAAAACUCCGAAGGGAAUGCAGUCCCCGCAGGGCGCAAAGGAGAAACUAAUAGUCCAGAGGCGGGGUGAACUUAAAGACCUGGCUUUCAUUAGCGUGGUGUUGUAACAGACUGCCAAGGAGCCUCUAAGGAAAUGGAUUUACGUACAUAUACAUACUCGCCCUUGCCCCUGAAGCAACAUCAAAUACUUUCAUGUUAUUCUUGGGGGCGUUUUAAUUCUUCCGAUCCUCUGAAUUCGUGUUUUUGUACAUCUCUUUCCAACCUGGGCCUACACACUAACAGAAAUAGUUUUUUACAUCGAAGGACAAUGCUUAGUGUUUUAUUCAGUCUCAACUCUUUUCUUUCUUUUUUCUCGUUGUGUUUCAAAAUGUUUAUUUUUUCUGUCUUGUGAUAGUUUUGGAGGAAAAAUAUUGAAAUAAUUCAAAUCAGGCUCUUAACUCUGCUUUAUUAAAUUUAUAGUCAUAGUAGCCUGUGAGUAUGCUUCGGGGGAGGAAAAAAGAAUGCUGGGGUCUUUAUUCUUCAAGUUCUCUAAGUUUGAUAUUUUGAAUAAACACCCAGAGGUGUCUCUGCCUUUUGUGUGUUAGUAUCUAAUCUUUCCUGCAUUUACGAGUCACUAGUAAAAUGCUAUGAAAGCCAUAGAUCCCAUGGCUCUCACUGUGAUUUUCCUGGGCUGAGUAGGGACUUAGUGAUGUUUAACCCCCAGUAUGCUUUUUAUAGAAGCACCAGCUGAUUCACCAGUGCCCUCCAAAGUGAGCACCUAUCCAUCUCACUCUGGACUCCCAACAGGUCAUACCAGGGAGCUUCGUUGAAAUAGACUUGGCAUUUAAAUUAAAAUGUUUCCCAAAGCAUCUUGGCAGACCUGUAACUAAUGAUGCCAGAGGCCCAAGGCCUGUGCCAGGUUCCCUUUUAUUCCCAUAAGUGCUUGUCUCCCACAAGCCACUGGUCACACGCCUGCUGAUGUUAUAGAAGCACUUCUUCAUCCCACAAACAGCCCAACUGUAGGUACCCUAUCUCAGACAUGGUGAAGGGAAGCAGCAUGUUCCUCUGACAUGUGCGAUGCUUGGCUCCCAACAGGCUUUUUAUAAUAAGCUAAACUCAGAUUUUUUCAUCACAAAUAGCGUAGUAAGUAAUUGUUUUUCCUCAUUCCUGCUUGUCUCUCUGCAGUCACUAAGUGGUUGCUGUCCAUUCCUCAUAUUCCACAAGCAAUAUUAUUGAAGAAAUUGUAAAUAUUUUGCCAAAAUUCUUGCUGUUUUCAUGGCAUUGUGAAAUUCGUAGUAGUUGGAGUUAGAAAAAGAGCCAAAAUAUCAUAGUCAUUCCUCAGCGAAUAUUGUCUAAUGGUUCCCUCAGAUUACAUUUCAGAGCAGGGCAAUAAAAGAUAGGCAAGACAUUAAUAAAAUGCCCAUUCUAAAUAGCUCCAUGAUGCUUAUGCCAAUUUAUUUUGUCUGUAUGCAAACGGUUGGAUUCUGGUGAGUAACCUGCUCAUAUUUAAAGUAGAUACCUUUAAAAUCUCAUUCUAUCAUGCCAGCAAUACAAGGCUUUAUCUCUUUUAAAUUUUCUUCGUAUUUCAAUCCAUCUCAGAUUUUAAUCAUUGUCACUCUUCAUCAAACUGUCUUCUAUUUGCAUCAUCAAUUUAAUGCCCAGAACUUGAACUAUUCAGACUCCCUGUUCCAUAAGAACCUUCCUUCAGUCUCAAAAAUAACACUGACUCAGUUUACUGACUUCUUGCCAUCAUUUAUACCCUCGUAGGUUAUGAAUUCAUAUCUAGUUUCCAGUUCACAGGCUCCAAUAUUAGGACUCUCCAACUUUUUUUCUGAUUCAGUGAGUACUUGGCCUUCAGAUUAUUUUCUUCGUUAAUGUAUUAUGACAAUUUUCAUUUCCCAAACCUCAAUCACAUGUUAUUUCCUCUAUUUCUCCAAAGAUGCAGUUCAACCUCUGAGCCUUCAUAGUCAACUGCUGUUCAUAUGCUUAACAUAAAUGCUAACUAGAGCAGAAAGUAGAUGACCAAAAUGCUUUAAGGAAAUAGUAGAUUAUAUCAAUGUACUAGUCCACACUGGCAACUCAUUUGCUUCCUGAGUCAAUCCAAGGGGUUGAUUUUAAUCUAUUAUGCUCCUACAGCUUAAAUUAUAUUUAUUUUAUCAUGAUCCUCAACAACAAGAAAUAUGUAGCGAUUGAUUGCCUUUUUUCCUGAGCAGUAAUGUGGCAAGUUAGACCUGCCAAAAGCUUUCAUUUCCAUAUUUUCCUCUCUUCUGACACAAAAGAUCCUUCACCCAUUUUCCUUGGAUCCAUCUUCCACAAGUGUAUAUGGCUGCCAAGAAGUUAGGCACUCAGGGAAUUACAGCUAUGCUUUUCAGCCACUGAGGAGCUACUUUGCGAGUUCAUUAAGUUUUUUCAGUGGCUAUUGGUAGCACUUUGAGGGAAUCUAUUAAUCAAUGGGAAUUUGAUAAGAUCAUUCUAUCAGCAAAAGGAUACAAUAUGAUAGACUAAUAUGAGUCCCUCAAUUAGUGUAAUAACUGUUACUUAUUACACUGGUUUUAUAAAUGCUGUCUCAUGUAUAUGAUUGUAUGUCUACCACCAUUUUAUUACAGGAGUCAUUGCAAACUCAGAUGUGUAUGGGGGCCAGGUAGGUAAUGUAAUGAGUGAAGUUGGAGGGAUUUGUUUCAUAAUAGCAUCAUAAUUCUUGUUUUUCCAACAACGAUAUACUUUGCAUAUCAGAGUAAUACUCUUCCUGAUUCACUUCUGGCUUUCUAAUUUUGAUAGGGCCUUGAUACAAGAAAUAUUUCACUUUCCUCUUAACUCUAAAAAAGAUGUGUGAGCAUACUGAUAAAUAGCAACUGACACCCAGCCAGGUGUAGUAUGGCAACACAGAAUGUUAGACUCAGGUACUCUGGUGAGAAAUCUUUUGGCUACCUUGAGGGAAUCUUGGCUCAGUGCUGCCAAGACCAUCUUGUUUUUCUAGAGAAGCCAAAAAUCUGGAACAUAAAACUUGUUAUUUAGUUAGUUAGUUCAUUCUCUUAAGGGAAGGACAUCCACAAAUUGAGGUCUUCACGUAUUGUUUUUUAUGAAGUCUACAGAGAGACCUAUUUUUUUCCUAUCCCACCUCCAAACCGCAUGAUAAGCAAAGUUUAGCAAAUGCCUUCCAAAGUCUGCAUUUCUUUGGGUCUUGUCAAUCUGUUUUUUAUUGACAGGUUUAUUUUCAUGAGUUUUAAGAAGUCAGAAUAUCUGAUGACCACAUCAUUUUACACAUCCCAAUAUGUGAUGGGUUGCUACCAACCUAUUUCCCUUCAUCUACCCACUCCCAAAUCCCAACCCCAGGAAUAUUUCAUCUCUGAAAUCUGAAACUCAGAGACUCAUUGUCUAGCCAGAAACUCUGCCCUUUCAUCAGUCCCAUUCUCUUACUUCCCCCAAACCCACCUGCCAGUCUUAGCAAGACCUGUACUUUCUCCACCCCUUCCCAAUCCCUUAGUCUAUCAGCACCCUUUUUAUCCUUUUUCCCCCGACCUAGCCUGGGCCUCAUGACCAAGACCUUCAAUUAAACCACAUUCUCACUAGCAUCCUAGAUCCCUCACAUUCUUGUCCUUCUGCUGUGCCCACCUUGACAAUAUAUAGCUUUUCAUAAAUCUAACUAUGGCUUUCUCCGUGCAUGCCCCCAGGUGCCACUCUGCUGUGGAAAAAAAAUCAUAUAGCUAGGCUGUGUUACAUGUGUAUGAUUUCCGUCUUCAGCAGAGCCUCUGGUAUAUUGAGCAAUAUUUUACCGUUUGCUAAUUGCCAUAAAUCUUUAUUCUCCAAACUGUUACUCUUCAAAUCCCAACUAACCCACUAGUUCUCAAUAUCAGCAGUUGUCCUAGGAUUCUACUUCACAAAAUGCACCAAAAAAUAAACUGCUUUAACUUUUUUUCCAUUCCACUUAUUGUUACUUCACCCACCACCCCUGCUUUCUAAGGGUAACCCUGAAUCAGAAACCAUCUAUGUAUAUUUUCUAUGCUUAUUGGACUCUUCUGCUGUGAUGUGAUUGAUCUUUUGAUACCAAGGUGUUUUGUUACCCUCUAGUUGGCAGAAGCUGGAAUGGGGUCUUCCCUGAGUGAGUGGCCAAUCCCAACUUCAAUCAUACAAGGGCAGGAAGGAGUCAGGGAUUUGGAAGACAGCCUUAGACCACUUUCUCUUGGGUCUGGUGCCUUGAGUCUUCAUGGGUGCUCCAAGGGAGUGAGGAGAAGACUAGGGCCUCCAGGAGCCAGAAGGGGAAGAAGUUGCCUUCAUCAGAAACCCCAUGAGGCUGAGCCUGUGGGCUCCGAGGAUAGGGACUUUGUGUUUAAAUGUGCUUUUUAUGGUCUAAUUCCCCAAAGUUGUUAAUAAAGAGGGGUUAGUAUUAAUAACUCCUCUCAGCUGUACCAUCAUGGAUAAAGUGAUGGCCUCUGAAAGACAGAGCUACUCCUUCUCUCACCCCCACAGCCAGUGUGAUGGCUGUGGCAGCCAUGAGUGAGAUUCCAGGGGAAAGUAAGUCCCUGAGUUAAAGAGGCAAGCGGUAAUCGGAGUAGACCAACCCCUCAGGGAGCUUCUCUUUCCUUUGUAAACCUUGAAGCACUGAGGCAGUUCUUCCAGUUCUUCUACCUUGCUUUGUCACAUCUCUUGGUCCAUUCUCUAUGCAUUUUGCUUUCUUCUACAUAUAAAUACAUUCUAGACAUCCCUUCCUAAAAAUUUUUCCUCAACUCUCUUUCCUUCUCAAGCUACACCUUCUCACUCUCCUUGCUCCUCACACUGAAAUUUCUGUGUAAAAAAAAAAAAAAAAAAUUCUUUUCUCUCUGAUGUUCAUUGUUCUUUUUGUUACCAGCCUAUUGUAACUGGCUUCCAUCCCCUUCUAUGGAAACUGUCCUCCCAAAGAUCAUGGUUAAAAUCCUGUAUCAACAAACUCAAUGGCUACUUUUUAGUCUUUACCUGUCUUGGCGUUUGUGGAACAUUUAGUAUUGCUAACUCUCCUUUUAUUGUUGAAACUCUCUCUUUCCCUGAUGAGAUUCUUGGCCUGACUGUGCCCCAGGAAUCUUAAACUCAACAUACCUUCAUUUUAAUUCCUUGAAUCUGUCCUUUAUACAUCUGUUUUGUUUUGCUAUCCAUGCUGUAGACUAACUGAAUGAAGAACUCAGCAUCAACUUCCACUCCCAGGGCCUCCUGUUCCAGUUAACUGUCGAGGCAUUGUAAAUCAACUGAAAAGUACCUUUCAAACCCAUUCCCACCAGAAUGGCCUGCUUUACUGUCUCAUUGCACUAUUGUCUAUUGGACUUCUGCAAUAGCCUCCCAACCCUGCCUGCCUCUACUCCCUCCCAACUUCAAUCUAUUUCUCAAACCAUCAAAGCAUUGUCCUGGAGGAUCACUACUCAACCCCAAAGUCUCCAACAGUUCACUUUAAAACAAAUUUGAUUCCCUUUGGGAGAUGCACAAGUUCCAUCAUAACCUGGCCCAAUCUUCCUUUCUAGCAUUGUCUCCUACCUAGAUAUGUUCCAUAAAUGCUAGUCAUGUCAAUCUACUUCCCUGAAAAGGCCAUGCAGUCUCACCCUCAGUGUGUUUGCUUAUGGUGUUUGCUAGGUUUAGAAUUCCUGUUUCCCUCUCUGCAUUGGAAGAACUUAGAGGCAUUCUUCAAGAAAACACAAAUGCUUCCUCCUUUGAUAAGAUGUUUCUGACUCCGGAAAAUUAAUUGCUCCUCUAGGCUCUUAAAGCACUUAGUACAUACCUCGACAAUGGCCCUCAUUAUAAUAUAUUGCAAUUAUUUAUGUAUGAGUCUUUUUCCCCACAUGAGCUUGAGAUCAACAGAGCAUAACUUACAAAUCUUUUCUCCAUACUAAAUGAGCUCAUCAGAGUUUGACACUACAUAGGAUUAAUCCUCAAACUGUCUGCACCAGCCCAGGACCUGACAUAUCAUAUAUCUUCCAUACAUUUGUUGAUUUUAAUUAAUAAGUCUGUUUUAAAAUCCAUCUUUGCCCUUCAUAUGCUUAUAAAACCCUUUCUUAUUUCAUUAUUUCAUAAGGCCUCUUUCCUUGGUUCGACUGAAUAUGUUUUAUUCUGUGCCUUCCAACUUUUCUUCCUAUUUUUCCUUAGUAACUAAUACAAAUAAGUUCAUCAUGUUGCUAGCAUUUAUAAAUUAUAUAUGUAUUGUGUGAAAAGGACUGUAUUUGAUGCUGUGGGGGGAAGGUGACUGGGAGUUUGGGGUAGGAAAAUGGAGGCUUAUUUUUCAUUAUGUAUGCAUUACAGUUCCAAUUUUUAAAGUAGUUAAAAAUAAUAAAGGGAGCAGUCCCAGCCCUGCUAUGGUUAAUAAAAAUUGUGACCUAUCUCUGAGACGUAAGAUUAACAAAACCUUACCAGACCAAAAACAUCACCCCUUAAGCUUGGCACACUGCCUGACUCCUUUCUUAAUUAGUUGGAAAUUCUAACCAUCAACAAUACACAACACAAGAGAGGACACAAUCUCCAGAAUGUUGCUGUUAAAAUGUACAAAUUACCUGGAAAAAGGAAGCUUCCCUAGACAGCUCCCACUUACGCUCAUUAGCAAAAAAUGAGCUAAAUGUCACCCUGUUCUUUUUGGCAGAGACAUAUGGCAUUCACAUGAGAGAGAAAAGACAGAUUAAUCUUGUUACCCAGAAGGUGGCAGGACAAGUUUCGGGGGGGGCUCCCUCCCAUCCCCUACUCCAAAAAACCUUAGAGGGCGGCUUGGGCAAGUGAGGAGAGGUUGUGAGCCACAUUGUGGUUUUAUAAUCUGGCUCGAUGUCUGCCCUGAGACAGAGAAACACCUAAGAGAAGGGUUGGGAGGGCAAUGAGACUUGAGAGAACCUAGGCCUUGGAGGAAGUGAUGGAGCUGGCUUGCUGGACAGGGGUCAGAAGGUCAUUCCAGGGAAGAUGGGCAGCCCAAGCGAAGACACAUCCAAGUUCCUCUUCUACUCACUAGUCCCUAUGCAAAUGCUUCUUGCACUAUUAAACUUUAGUUAAGACACGAUGAAGAAGAGGCCUUAAAUGUUCUUUUAAAAUCAUAUGACCAUGUAAAUAGAGGAUCUUGAACUCAACUGGGACAAGGACAAGAACUAGAGGAAGUGGAUAAGCUGUAGCCACAGGGAUUUUGGGUGCCACAGAAAGGAAAUUGUCCCUGCUCUGACAUUAGGCACUGAUAUGCAUUACCAGCAAGGCCUUGGAAUUUCCUUUUCACAAGAACCUUAAGAAGGUAGACAGUUAUCUACAGGGAUGGUAUGAGCAGUUCCAGCCUGAAGGCAAAGGUCAUAAUGAAUGACUCCCUUUGACCUGCUGAUUCUGGGUAUUUAAUCACAGAUUUUUAAAAACUUUUUUGAAGUCAAAUUAGAUGUUAGAAUUUUUUUCUCAGUUUUCUUUGUCUUCAUUUUCAUGGAAUUACUAUUUGGUGUGGUGUAAUGAAAUGUUUCAGCCCUCUUCCAAACACGUAUUUCUCACGGGGGGGUUCAAUUGCCUAUUUACUGUUUUGAAAUGGAAUACCUUUGUAAUCAUAUAUUCCCGCAGUUUGAGUUCACAUGUUUCAUCUAGCUGGUCCAUUUUUCUGCCUUUUAAAUUAGGUUCACUAGUUUAUUUUUAUCAUUGAGCCAAAGAUCUCAGGAUGUUCUCUGCUUGGGGUAGAUUUUCCACUUGAAGAAUUAUAAAAUGACCCUCUUCCUAACAUGGUAACUUCUUUGAUGCUGUACACUUGCUGUGUUUGUAACAGUUAGGGGAAAUUAAAGUGUCUGGUAGAGUACAAUAUUAAUGCUAUUAGAGUACAUGGAGAAAUUUUAAAUCUCCCUCAAUCUCUAUUUCUGAUGAUGGAUUCCUUGGGGUUUUAACUCUAUGUUGUAUUCAAAAUAGUGUUUGGUUUUUUUUUUUUAAUCGUCAUAUUCUCCAGUGUCAAACUCAGCAUUAUUGCUUCCACAAAUACUUUGUACAUUGAACCAUCUCUAUGUUAUUUUAUUCAUCUGUUCCUCUAAGAAGACCUUGUUAAUCUACAGUGACAUUUCAGCCAUAAAAAUGAGUUC